CGUACUCCUUGUCACAAGAUCCUUGGCUUAUAAACUUACAAUACGAGCAAGAAUCAAUUAAAAUAAUGAUCACCGGUCACCAAAAUUAUGCUUUUAUCUUUUCAACUUGAAGCAUGAAACAGUUACCGUACUGAAAACAGACUUUGAAUUUGCAGAUUUUCUUCGUUCUAUACGUUGUAUGAUUAUUUCCCUGACUGGAUGUUGUUUCAUAAUCCUAAGAUUG
Non-coding RNA from Pelobates cultripes (western spadefoot toad), 223 nucleotides. Lineage: Eukaryota; Metazoa; Chordata; Amphibia; Anura; Pelobatidae. The record is from the annotation of a GenBank genome assembly.